AGUCGACGAGACCUUCGGGUCUAGUGGCGCACGGGUGCGUAACGCGUGGGAAUCUGCCCUUGGGUUCGGAAUAACAGUUGGAAACGACUGCUAAUACCGGAUGAUGACGAAAGUCCAAAGAUUUAUCGCCCAGGGAUGAGCCCGCGUAGGAUUAGCUAGUUGGUGAGGUAAAGGCUCACCAAGGCUACGAUCCUUAGCUGGUCUGAGAGGAUGAUCAGCCACACUGGGACUGAGACACGGCCCAGACUCCUACGGGAGGCAGCAGUAGGGAAUAUUGGACAAUGGGGGCAACCCUGAUCCAGCAAUGCCGCGUGAGUGAUGAAGGCCUUAGGGUUGUAAAGCUCUUUUACCCGGGAUGAUAAUGACAGUACCGGGAGAAUAAGCCCCGGCUAACUCCGUGCCAGCAGCCGCGGUAAUACGGAGGGGGCUAGCGUUGUUCGGAAUUACUGGGCGUAAAGCGCACGUAGGCGGCGAUUUAUUUCAAAGGUGAAAGCCCGGGGCUCGACCCCGGAAUAGCCUUUCAGACUGGAUUGCUUGAAUCUU
Molecule: ribosomal RNA, 543 nt
Filed under: uncultured bacterium
Lineage: Bacteria
Description: bacterial SSU rRNA
Rfam family: Bacterial small subunit ribosomal RNA
Source: RNAcentral